RNAcentral lists this ribosomal RNA (497 nucleotides) under uncultured bacterium. RNAcentral's name for it is "partial 16S ribosomal RNA". It matches the Rfam family "Bacterial small subunit ribosomal RNA", at positions 28 to 507 of the family's 1533-position model. The record is from RNAcentral.
GAUGAACGCUGGCGGCGUGCCUAACACAUGCAAGUCGAGCGGACGGACGAGGCGUUUGCUUGGCUGAUGUUAGGGGCGGACGGGUGAGUCACACGAGUAUACCUUACCUAUAAGACUGGGAUCACUACGGGAAACCGGAGAUAACACCGGAUAAUAUUUUGAACCGCAUGGUUCAUAAGUGAAAGACGGUCUUGCUGUCACUAAUAGAUGUAUCCGGGCUGGAUUAGCUAGUUGGUACGGUAACGGCUUACCAAGGCUACGAUGCAUAGCCGACCUGAGAGGCUGAUCGGCCACACUGGAACUGAGACACGGUCCAGACUCCUACGGGAGGCAGCAGUAGGGAAUCUUCGGCAAUGGGCGAAAGCCUGACGCAGCAACGCCGCGUGUGUGAUGAAGGUCUUCGGAUCGUAAAGCUCUGUUAUUGGGGAUGAACAGCUGUGUAAUGAACCGUGGACAUCUUGACGGUACCUAAUCAAAAAGCAACGGCUAACUACGUG